Molecule: ribosomal RNA, 254 nt
Filed under: uncultured bacterium
Lineage: Bacteria
Description: partial 16S ribosomal RNA
Rfam family: Bacterial small subunit ribosomal RNA
Source: RNAcentral
CACGUAGGGUGCGAGCGUUGUCCGGAAUUAUUGGGCGUAAAGAGCUCGUAGGCGGUGUGUCGCGUCGGCCGUGAAAACCUACAGCUUAACUGUGGGCUUGCGGUCGAUACGGGCAUCACUGGAGUUCGGCAGGGGAGACUGGAAUUCCUGGUGUAGCGGUGAAAUGCGCAGAUAUCAGGAGGAACACCGGUGGCGAAGGCGGGUCUCUGGGCCGAUACUGACGCUGAGGAGCGAAAGCGUGGGGAGCGAACAGG